Molecule: ribosomal RNA, 497 nt
Filed under: uncultured bacterium
Lineage: Bacteria
Description: partial 16S ribosomal RNA
Rfam family: Bacterial small subunit ribosomal RNA
Source: RNAcentral
GAUGAACGCUGGCGGCGUGCCUAAUACAUGCAAGUCGAGCGAACGGACGAGAAGCUUGCUUCUCUGAUGUUAGCGGCGGACGGGUGAGUAACACGUGGAUAACCUACCUAUAAGACUGGGAUAACUUCGGGAAACCGGAGCUAAUACCGGAUAAUAUUUUGAACCGCAUGGUUCAAAAGUGAAAGACGUUCUUGCUGUCACUUAUAGAUGUAUCCGCGCUGCAUUAGCUAGUUGGUAAGGUAACGGCUUACCAAGGCAACGAUGCAUAGCCGACCUGAGAGGGUGAUCGGGCACACUGGAACUGAGACACGGUCCAGACUCCUACGGGAGGCAGCAGUGGGGAAUCUUGCGCAAUGGGCGAAAGCCGGACGGAGCAAGGCCGCGUGAGUGAUGAAGGUCUUCGGAUGGUAAAGCUCUGUUAGUAGGGAGGAAGAGAUGUGUGAGUAACUGUGGAGGUGUUGACGGUACCGAAUGAGAAAGCCACGGCUAACUACGUG